GGGCUCGCUUCGGCAACACAUACACUAAAAUUGGAAUGAUGCAGAGAUUAGCAUGGCCCCUGAGCAAAGAUGACAUGCAAAUUCAUGAAGAACCAAGGAACCAA
Molecule: non-coding RNA, 104 nt
Organism: Zootoca vivipara (common lizard)
Lineage: Eukaryota; Metazoa; Chordata; Lepidosauria; Squamata; Lacertidae
Source: RefSeq, a predicted model, not a curated record